Molecule: non-coding RNA, 26 nt
Filed under: Mus musculus (house mouse)
Lineage: Eukaryota; Metazoa; Chordata; Mammalia; Rodentia; Muridae
Source: RNAcentral
UNCUCAAGACACAGGGCUCCUUCUGG